GGAGGUGUGGCUCAAGUGGUAGAGUAUCAACCUUAAGUGAUAAAGCCAAGUGAGACCUGGAGGUCCUGAGUUCAAGCCUCAGUACCUGCA
Molecule: transfer RNA, 90 nt
Filed under: Dipodomys ordii (Ord's kangaroo rat)
Lineage: Eukaryota; Metazoa; Chordata; Mammalia; Rodentia; Heteromyidae
Rfam family: tRNA
About the family: Transfer RNA (tRNA) molecules are approximately 80 nucleotides in length. Their secondary structure includes four short double-helical elements and three loops (D, anti-codon, and T loops). Further hydrogen bonds mediate the characteristic L-shaped molecular structure. tRNAs have two regions of fundamental functional importance: the anti-codon, which is responsible for specific mRNA codon recognition, and the 3' end, to which the tRNAs corresponding amino acid is attached (by aminoacyl-tRNA synthetases). tRNAs cope with the degeneracy of the genetic code in two manners: having more than one tRNA (with a specific anti-codon) for a particular amino acid; and 'wobble' base-pairing, i.e. permitting non-standard base-pairing at the 3rd anti-codon position.
Source: Rfam by way of RNAcentral